UACAGAGGUCUCAAGCGUUGUUCGGAUUCAUUGGGCGUAAAGGGCGCGUAGGCGGCGGGGCAAGUCGGGUGUGAAAUCUCAGGGCUCAACCCUGAAACUGCACUCGAUACUGCUCUGCUUGAGGACUGGAGAGGAGACUGGAAUUCACGGUGUAGCAGUGAAAUGCGUAGAUAUCGUGAGGAAGACCAGUGGCGAAGGCGGGUCUCUGGACAGUUCCUGACGCUGAGGAACGAAAGCUAGGGGAGCAAACAGG
Molecule: ribosomal RNA, 253 nt
Filed under: uncultured bacterium
Lineage: Bacteria
Description: partial 16S ribosomal RNA
Rfam family: Bacterial small subunit ribosomal RNA
Source: RNAcentral